ACGACGGUCAAUAGGAAGAGCGGCAACGUCGGUUGUAAUAUGUCAAAUCAUAAAUAAGGCUUCUAUCAAAUACUCAUAACAAUGGAGGUACACGAGUGUACUUUGUUUACCGUUGUUUACUUUUCUUGACGUAAGUGAAGACGCUAUUUCAAGAAAUUUGAAGUGCUAAUUCAUUAAAAUAUGUACGCUUUCAUGACUGUGCCUCAACUUAAAGUUGAGGUUCGUAAAAGAAAUGCGUCAAUUGCCGGAAAAAAAGGCUAAUUUGAUAGAAAGAUUGCAAUCUAAUGACCGGAAUAAAAAUUUUGGUGUUGACUGCGAGAUCCAAGAGGAGAUCGCAUAUCUGAGUCCAGCCACUGAUACUUUCAGAGACAUAAUUGCGGACACUUCUUUACCAAUGAUUACGAGACAAGCAAUACAGGAAUAUUUUGAAAGUUAUGUACCCAUAUGUAAUGAUUAUAAUCUUAGGCAGUUGUUUACAAAGAUGACAGUGUAAAUUUUAUGUAUUUAAAUUGAUAUAAUACUCAGCAUAAAGGACAACUCCUGUACGAAUUUCGACAUCUUGUGACUGCCCGCUAUUCCACAGAUGGCAUUUAUACCCACUUGCGAGGACAAUGUAAAGCCAGUAUGAAAAAAAUGGUAUACUUUGUGGAUAUAAAAUUAAGUAAAGAUGGAGUAAUUGAAGAAUGCCAUUGCGAUUGUGCUGCAGGCAGUGGUACUCAAGCAUGUUGCAAACAUGUCUCUGUAUUGUUGGAUGGUACACAAAAAAAAUAUUAAAUUGCAUCUGUCAAGUACUCAAAAA
RNAcentral lists this unclassified non-coding RNA (799 nucleotides) under Manduca sexta (tobacco hornworm). Its description in RNAcentral is "uncharacterized LOC119188544, transcript variant X1". Lineage: Eukaryota; Metazoa; Arthropoda; Insecta; Lepidoptera; Sphingidae. The record is from RNAcentral.